UUAAGCGACUAAGCGUACACGGUGGAUGCCCUGGCAGUCAGAGGCGAUGAAGGACGUGCUAAUCUGCGAAAAGCGUCGGUAAGGUGAUAUGAACCGUUACAGCCGGCGAUGUCCGAAUGGGGAAACCCAGUGCAAUUCGUUGCACUAUCGUUUGAUGAAUACAUAGUCAAACGAGGCGAACCGGGGGAACUGAAACAUCUAAGUACCCCGAGGAAAAGAAAUCAACCGAGAUUCCCCCAGUAGCGGCGAGCGAACGGGGAGCAGCCCGGAGUCUGAAUCAGCUUGUGUGUUAGUGGAAGCGUCUGGAAAGUCGCAGGGUACAGGGUGAUACUCCCGUACACUAAAACGCACAGGUUGUGAACUCGAAGAGUAGGGCGGGACACGUGGUAUCCUGUCUGAAUAUGGGGGGACCAUCCUCCAAGGCUAAAUACUCCUGACUGACCGAUAGUGAACCAGUACCGUGAGGGAAAGGCGAAAAGAACCCCGGCGAGGGGAGUGAAAAAGAACCUGAAACCGUGUACGUACAAGCAGUAGGAGCCCACUUGUUGGGUGACUGCGUACCUUUUGUAUAAUGGGUCAGCGACUUAUAUUCUGUAGCAAGGUUAACCGUAUAGGGGAGCCGCAGGGAAACCGAGUCUUAACUGGGCGUUAAGUUGCAGGGUAUAGACCCGAAACCCGGUGAUCUAGCCAUGGGCAGGUUGAAGGUUGGGUAACACUAACUGGAGGACCGAACCGACUAAUGUUGAAAAAUUAGCGGAUGACUUGUGGCUGGGGGUGAAAGGCCAAUCAAACCGGGAGAUAGCUGGUUCUCCCCGAAAGCUAUUUAGGUAGCGCCUCGUGAACUCAUCUUCGGGGGUAGAGCACUGUUUCGGCUAGGGGGUCAUCCCGACUUACCAACCCGAUGCAAACUACGAAUACCGAAGAAUGUUAUCACGGGAGACACACGGCGGGUGCUAACGUCCGUCGUGAAGAGGGAAACAACCCAGACCGCCAGCUAAGGUCCCAAAGUCAUGGUUAAGUGGGAAACGAUGUGGGAAGGCCCAGACAGCCAGGAUGUUGGCUUAGAAGCAGCCAUCAUUUAAAGAAAGCGUAAUAGCUCACUGGUCGAGUCGGCCUGCGCGGAAGAUGUAACGGGGCUAAACCAUGCACCGAAGCUGCGGCAGCGACGCUUAUGCGUUGUUGGGUAGGGGAGCGUUCUGUAAGCCGUUGAAGGUGGCCUGUGAGGGUUGCUGGAGGUAUCAGAAGUGCGAAUGCUGACAUAAGUAACGAUAAUGCGGGUGAAAAACCCGCACGCCGGAAGACCAAGGGUUCCUGUCCAACGUUAAUCGGGGCAGGGUGAGUCGACCCCUAAGGCGAGGCCGAAAGGCGUAGUCGAUGGGAAACAGGUUAAUAUUCCUGUACUUGGUGUUACUGCGAAGGGGGGACGGAGAAGGCUAUGUUGGCCGGGCGACGGUUGUCCCGGUUUAAGCGUGUAGGUGUGUGUUCCAGGUAAAUCCGGUUCACUUUAACACUGAGGCGUGAUGACGAGGCACUACGGUGCUGAAGUGACAAAUGCCCUGCUUCCAGGAAAAGCCUCUAAGCAUCAGGUAACAUCAAAUCGUACCCCAAACCGACACAGGUGGUCAGGUAGAGAAUACCAAGGCGCUUGAGAGAACUCGGGUGAAGGAACUAGGCAAAAUGGUGCCGUAACUUCGGGAGAAGGCACGCUGAUAUGUAGGUGAAGUGGUUUACCCAUGGAGCUGAAAUCAGUCGAAGAUACCAGCUGGCUGCAACUGUUUAUUAAAAACACAGCACUGUGCAAACACGAAAGUGGACGUAUACGGUGUGACGCCUGCCCGGUGCCGGAAGGUUAAUUGAUGGGGUUAUCCGUAAGGAGAAGCUCUUGAUCGAAGCCCCGGUAAACGGCGGCCGUAACUAUAACGGUCCUAAGGUAGCGAAAUUCCUUGUCGGGUAAGUUCCGACCUGCACGAAUGGCGUAAUGAUGGCCAGGCUGUCUCCACCCGAGACUCAGUGAAAUUGAACUCGCUGUGAAGAUGCAGUGUACCCGCGGCAAGACGGAAAGACCCCGUGAACCUUUACUAUAGCUUGACACUGAACACUGGUCCUUGAUGUGUAGGAUAGGUGGGAGGCUUUGAAGNUGGAGCCAUCCUUGAAAUACCACCCUUUAAUGGCUGGUGUUCUAACGUGGGCCCCUAAUCGGGGUUGCGGACAGUGUCUGGUGGGUAGUUUGACUGGGGCGGUCUCCUCCUAAAGAGUAACGGAGGAGCACGAAGGUCAGCUAAUCCUGGUCGGACAUCAGGAGGUUAGUGCAAUGGCAUAAGCUGGCUUGACUGCGAGCGUGACGGCGCGAGCAGGUGCGAAAGCAGGUCAUAGUGAUCCGGUGGUUCUGAAUGGAAGGGCCAUCGCUCAACGGAUAAAAGGUACUCCGGGGAUAACAGGCUGAUACCGCCCAAGAGUUCAUAUCGACGGCGGUGUUUGGCACCUCGAUGUCGGCUCAUCACAUCCUGGGGCUGAAGUAGGUCCCAAGGGUAUGGCUGUUCGCCAUUUAAAGUGGUACGCGAGCUGGGUUUAGAACGUCGUGAGACAGUUCGGUCCCUAUCUGCCGUGGGCGCUGGAGAAUUGAGGGGGGCUGCUCCUAGUACGAGAGGACCGGAGUGGACGCAUCACUGGUGUUCGGGUUGUCAUGCCAAUGGCAUUGCCCGGUAGCUAAAUGCGGAAGAGAUAAGUGCUGAAAGCAUCUAAGUACGAAACUUGCCCCGAGAUGAGUUCUCCCUGACUCCUUGAGAGUCCUGAAGGAACGUUGAAGACGACGACGUUGAUAGGCCGGGUGUGUAAGCGCAGCGAUGCGUUGAGCUAACCGGUACUAAUGAACCGUGAGGCUUAACCU
This 2887-nucleotide ribosomal RNA is filed under the name Klebsiella pasteurii. RNAcentral's name for it is "23S ribosomal RNA". It matches the Rfam family "Bacterial large subunit ribosomal RNA". The record is from RNAcentral. Lineage: Bacteria; Pseudomonadati; Pseudomonadota; Gammaproteobacteria; Enterobacterales; Enterobacteriaceae.